UAACAACGACUCUCGGCAACGGAUAUCUCGGCUCUCGCAUCGAUGAAGAACGCAGCGAAAUGCGAUACUUGGUGUGAAUUGCAGAAUCCCGUGAACCAUCGAGUCUUUGAACGCAAGUUGCGCCCGAAGCCAUCCGGCCAAGGGCACGUCUGCCUGGGCGUCACACACC
RNAcentral lists this ribosomal RNA (169 nucleotides) under Artocarpus rubrovenius. Its description in RNAcentral is "5.8S ribosomal RNA". It matches the Rfam family "5.8S ribosomal RNA". From Rfam's summary of the family: 5.8S ribosomal RNA (5.8S rRNA) is a component of the large subunit of the eukaryotic ribosome. It is transcribed by RNA polymerase I as part of the 45S precursor that also contains 18S and 28S rRNA. The record is from RNAcentral. Lineage: Eukaryota; Viridiplantae; Streptophyta; Magnoliopsida; Rosales; Moraceae.